GACGAACGCUGGCGGCGUGCUUAACACAUGCAAGUCGAACGGCAAGGCCCUGCUAUUGUGGGGUGCUCGAGUGGCGAACGGGUGCGUAACACGUGAGUAACCUGCCCUUGUCUUUGGGAUAACUUCAGGAAACUGGGGCUAAUACCAGAUAGGAGCUCCUGCUGCAUGGUGGGGGUUGGAAAGUUUCGGCGGUUGGGGAUGGACUCGCGGCUUAUCAGCUUGUUGGUGGGGUAGUGGCUUACCAAGGCUUUGACGGGUCGCCGGCCUGAGAGGGUGACCGGCGACAUUGGGACUGAGAGACGGCCCAGACUCCUACGGGAGGCAGCAGGGGGGAAUAUUGCACAAUGGGCGGAAGCCUGAUGCAGCAACGCCGCGUGCGGGAUGACGGCCUUCGGGUUGUAAACCGCUGUCGCCUGUGACGAAGCGGGAGUGACGGUAAUGGGUAAAGAAGCACCGGCUAACUACGUG
This 468-nucleotide ribosomal RNA is filed under the name uncultured bacterium. Its description in RNAcentral is "partial 16S ribosomal RNA". It matches the Rfam family "Bacterial small subunit ribosomal RNA", at positions 28 to 507 of the family's 1533-position model. The record is from RNAcentral.